GAUGAACGCUGGCGGCGUGCCUAAUACAUGCAAGUCGAACGAGGCCCUCUUCCUUCGGGAGGAGGUGUCCUAGUGGCGAACGGGUGAGUAUCACGUUGGUGACCUACCCCGAAGAAGGGGACAACCCCGGGAAACUGGGGCUAAUACCCUAUGUGAUCCUAAGGACUAGAUGCCUAAGGAUGAAAGGGAGCAAUCCGCUUCGGGAGGGGCCUGCGGCCUAUCAGCUAGUUGGUGAGGUAAUGGCUCACCAAGGCGACGACGGGUAGGGGACCUGAGAGGGUGACCCCCCACACUGGAACUGAAACACGGACCAGACACCUACGGGUGGCAGCAGUAGGGAAUAUUGCACAAUAGGCGAAAGCCUGAUGCAGCAACGCCGCGUGUGCGAUGAAGGCCUUAGGGUUGUAAAGCACUUUUCUGGGGGACGAGAAAGGACGGUACCCCAGGAAUAAGUCUCGGCUAACUACGUG
This 470-nucleotide ribosomal RNA is filed under the name uncultured bacterium. RNAcentral describes it as "bacterial SSU rRNA". It matches the Rfam family "Bacterial small subunit ribosomal RNA", at positions 28 to 507 of the family's 1533-position model. The record is from RNAcentral.